This 460-nucleotide ribosomal RNA is filed under the name uncultured bacterium. RNAcentral's name for it is "partial 16S ribosomal RNA". It matches the Rfam family "Bacterial small subunit ribosomal RNA", at positions 338 to 795 of the family's 1533-position model. The record is from RNAcentral.
CCUACGGGAGGCAGCAGUGAGGAAUAUUGGUCAAUGGACGAGAGUCUGAACCAGCCAAGUAGCGUGAAGGAUGACUGCCCUAUGGGUUGUAAACUUCUUUUAUAAAGGAAUAAAACGAGGCACGUGUGCCUUUUUGCAUGUACUUUAUGAAUAAGGAUCGGCUAACUCCGUGCCAGCAGCCGCGGUAAUACGGAGGAUCCGAGCGUUAUCCGGAUUUAUUGGGUUUAAAGGGAGCGUAGGUGGGUUGUUAAGUCAGUUGUGAAAUUUUGCGGCUCAACCGUAAAAUUGCAAUUGAUACUGGCAGUCUUGAGUACACUUGAGGUAGGCGGAAUUCGUGGUGUAGCGGUGAAAUGCUUAGAUAUCAUGAAGAACUCCGAUUGCGAAGGCAGCUUACUAAACUGCCACUGACAUUGAUGCUCGAAAGUGUGGGUAUCAAACAGGAUUAGAUACCCGGGUAGUC